Molecule: ribosomal RNA, 253 nt
Filed under: uncultured bacterium
Lineage: Bacteria
Description: partial 16S ribosomal RNA
Rfam family: Bacterial small subunit ribosomal RNA
Source: RNAcentral
UACGUAGGGUGCGAGCGUUGUCCGGAAUUAUUGGGCGUAAAGGGCUCGUAGGCGGUUUGUCGCGUCGGGAGUGAAAACCUCGGGCUUAACUCGGGGCUUGCUUUCGAUACGGGCAGACUGGAGGUAUGCAGGGGAGAACGGAAUUCCUGGUGUAGCGGUGAAAUGCGCAGAUAUCAGGAGGAACACCGGUGGCGAAGGCGGUUCUCUGGGCAGUACCUGACGCUGAGGAGCGAAAGUGUGGGGAGCGAACAGG